Molecule: ribosomal RNA, 460 nt
Filed under: uncultured bacterium
Lineage: Bacteria
Description: partial 16S ribosomal RNA
Rfam family: Bacterial small subunit ribosomal RNA
Source: RNAcentral
CCUACGGGAUGCAGCAGUGAGGAAUAUUGGUCAAUGGACGAGAGUCUGAACCAGCCAAGUAGCGUGAAGGAUGACUGCCCUAUGGGUUGUAAACUUCUUUUAUAUGGGAAUAAAACGUUCCACGUGUGGGAUUUUGUAUGUACCAUAUGAAUAAGGAUCGGCUAACUCCGUGCCAGCAGCCGCGGUAAUACGGAGGAUCCGAGCGUUCUCCGGAUUUAUUGGGUUUAAGGGGAGCGUAGGUGGAUUGUUAAUGCAGUUGUGAAAGUUUGGGGCUCAACCGUAAAAUUGCAGUUGAAACUGGCAGUCUUGAGUACAGUAGGGGUGGGCGGAAUGCGGGGGGUAGCGUGGAAAGGAUUAGAUAUCACGAAGAACUCCGAUGGCGAAGGCAGUUCACUGGACUGCAACUGACACUGAGGCUCGAAAGUGUGGGUAUCAAACAGGAUUAGAUACCCGGGUAGUC